Molecule: transfer RNA, 83 nt
Filed under: Collybia nuda
Lineage: Eukaryota; Fungi; Basidiomycota; Agaricomycetes; Agaricales; Clitocybaceae
Description: Lepista nuda tRNA
Rfam family: tRNA
About the family: Transfer RNA (tRNA) molecules are approximately 80 nucleotides in length.
Source: Rfam by way of RNAcentral
ACACCGAUGGUGAAGUGGUUAUCAUGCUUGCCUUCCAUUAAUUUCGGUAGCAAGCGGCACGGGUUCGAUUCCCGUUCGGUGUA